UGCUUUUGACGGGUAACGGGGAAUUAGGGUUCGACUCCGGAGAGGGAGCCUGAGAAACGGCUACCACAUCCAAGGAAGGCAGCAGGCGCGCAAAUUACCCAAUCCCGAUACGGGGAGGUAGUGACAAGAAAUACCGAUUCAGGAUCUUAUUGGAUCUUGAGAUUGGAAUGAGUACAAUUCAAACCCAUUAACGAGGAACAACUAGAGGGCAAGUCUGGUGCCAGCAGCCGCGGUAAUUCCAGCUCUAGUAGCGUAUAUUAAAAUUGUUGCAGUUAAAACGCUCGUAGUUGAACUUUGGGCUUGGCUGGCUGGUCCGCCUCACCGCGUGCACUGGUCCGGCUGGGCCUUUCCUCUUGGGGAUCCACAUGCCCUUCACUUGGGUGUGUUGGGGAACCAGGACUUUUACUUUGAAAAAAUUAGGGUGUUCAAAGCAGGCAUUUGCUCGAAUACAUUAGCAUGGGAUAAUAGAAUAGGACGUGUGGUCUUAUUUUGUUGGUUUCUAGGACCGCCGUAAUGAUUGAUAGGGAUAGUUGGGGGCAUCG
RNAcentral lists this ribosomal RNA (542 nucleotides) under Hesperomyces parexochomi. RNAcentral's name for it is "SSU rRNA". It matches the Rfam family "Eukaryotic small subunit ribosomal RNA", at positions 347 to 893 of the family's 1831-position model. The record is from RNAcentral. Lineage: Eukaryota; Fungi; Ascomycota; Laboulbeniomycetes; Laboulbeniales; Laboulbeniaceae.